CCUACGGGAGGCAGCAGUGGGGAACAUUGGACAAUGGGCGAAAGCCUGAUCCAGCAAUGCCGCGUGUGUGAAGAAGGCCUUCGGGUUGUAAAGCACUUUUGUCCGGAAAGAAAUCCUUGGCUCUAAUACAGUCGGGGGAUGACGGUACCGGAAGAAUAAGCACCGGCUAACUACGUGCCAGCAGCCGCGGUAAUACGUAGGGUGCGAGCGUUAAUCGGAAUUACUGGGCGUAAAGCGUGCGCAGGCGGUUUGCUAAGACCGAUGUGAAAUCCCCGGGCUCAACCUGGGAACUGCAUUGGUGACUGGCAGGCUAGAGUAUGGCAGAGGGGGGUAGAAUUCCACGUGUAGCAGUGAAAUGCGUAGAGAUGUGGAGGAAUACCGAUGGCGAAGGCAGCCCCCUGGGCCGAUACUGACGCUCAUGCACGAAAGCGUGGGGAGCAAACAGGAUUAGAUACCCUGGUAGUCCACGCCCUAAACGAUGUCAACUAGUUGUUGGGGAUUCAUUUCCUUAGUAACGUAGCUAACGCGUGAAGUUGACCGCCUGGGGAGUACGGUCGCAAGAUUAAAACUCAAAGGAAUUGACGGGGACCCGCACAAGCGGUGGAUGAUGUGGAUUAAUUCGAUGCAACGCGAAAAACCUUACCUACCCUUGACAUGGUCGGAAUCCCGCUGAGAGGUGGGAGUGCUCGAAAGAGAACCGGCGCACAGGUGCUGCAUGGCUGUCGUCAGCUCGUGUCGUGAGAUGUUGGGUUAAGUCCCGCAACGAGCGCAACCCUUGUCCUUAGUUGCUACGCAAGAGCACUCUAAGGAGACUGCCGGUGACAAACCGGAGGAAGGUGGGGAUGACGUCAAGUCCUCAUGGCCCUUAUGGGUAGGGCUUCACACGUCAUACAAUGGUCGGAACAGAGGGUUGCCAACCCGCGAGGGGGAGCUAAUCCCAGAAAACCGAUCGUAGUCCGGAUUGCACUCUGCAACUCGAGUGCAUGAAGCUGGAAUCGCUAGUAAUCGCGGAUCAGCGUGCCGCGGUGAAUACAUUCCCGGGCCUUGUACACACCGCC
This 1058-nucleotide ribosomal RNA is filed under the name uncultured Burkholderia sp. RNAcentral's name for it is "bacterial SSU rRNA". It matches the Rfam family "Bacterial small subunit ribosomal RNA", at positions 338 to 1394 of the family's 1533-position model. Lineage: Bacteria; Pseudomonadati; Pseudomonadota; Betaproteobacteria; Burkholderiales; Burkholderiaceae. The record is from RNAcentral.